GUGGGGAAUAUUGGACAAUGGGCGCAAGCCUGAUCCAGCCAUGCCGCGUGUGUGAAGAAGGCCUUUUGGUUGUAAAGCACUUUAAGCGAGGAGGAGGCUACUGAGAUUAAUACUCUUGGAUAGUGGACGUUACUCGCAGAAUAAGCACCGGCUAACUCUGUGCCAGCAGCCGCGGUAAUACAGAGGGUGCGAGCGUUAAUCGGAUUUACUGGGCGUAAAGCGUGCGUAGGCGGCUUUUUAAGUCGGAUGUGAAAUCCCUGAGCUUAACUUAGGAAUUGCAUUCGAUACUGGGAAGCUAGAGUAUGGGGGAGGAUGGUAGAAUUCCAGGUGUAGCGGUGAAAUGCGUAGAGAUCUGGAGGAAUACCGAUGGCGAAGGCAGCCAUCUGGCCUAAUACUGACGCUGAGGUACGAAAGCAUGGGGAGCAAACAGGAUUAGAAACCCCUGUAGUCC
RNAcentral lists this ribosomal RNA (451 nucleotides) under uncultured bacterium. RNAcentral describes it as "partial 16S ribosomal RNA". It matches the Rfam family "Bacterial small subunit ribosomal RNA", at positions 354 to 796 of the family's 1533-position model. The record is from RNAcentral.